AAUACUUCAAAUAAGCAGGAAGCAAUCUGCGACAUCAUAUAACAUACAUACAAAUGUGAUCAACAUCAAGUUUACAAUUAGAUAACACACAUGCAGCCCAAGUGUAUCAACCCAAGUGUGGCACCUGAGUCUAUCAUAGGAGCCCUACAAGUUCUGGUACAUCAUAUAACACACAUAAAAAUAGGAUCGACAUUAUUCCAAUGAACUAGCUCCUAGAACUAGCACACAUACAAGUUCUGCCACAAGGACUUCAUUACUCCCAAAACUAGCUCAAUGAGCUAAAACUAUGCAUCACCCAAUUUCUUUGUCCUGAUGCUUGCAAAGAAACAUGAAAGGCUAGCAUCUGCACAUUGCAGAACAAAAUGUUUAGGAACAAAAUAAAAGUAAAUCUAAUAGCAAAUUAUAAAAAAAAACAAAGUAUUAAAAACUGCAGUAAUAUAGUUGAUAGGUACACAAUACCAUGGUUUUAAUUUAACAAAGUUUUUUAGAGUAUUCAGCAUCAUAUAUAUAGCGGAGACUGCACGUGCAGAAUCAUAUGUUCUAUUCACGACUCACGGAUCCUAGACCUAGCAGAAGUAUAACACAAAUCUGACAACAGUUGAAAAAUAGUUCAACCUUGUUCAUGGCAUCACAGGGUCCAUAGUUUCCUAUGUUUCACCAAAAACAAAUAAGUAUUGAGCAUCAGAAGUAUUUUUAAUCAAUUUGUUAAGAAUGUGGGAGGGUUGUAGUGUGCUUAGCCUUACAACAAUAUCUACUACUGUUGUGCACUUGCUAAAUCAAAAUACAUAUUUACAAGUUAAGAGUAAGUAGUAUAAAUGUGCAUUUAUGUGUCGCUCAAAGUAGGAAAAUAUUGUUUGAAACAACAUUCGAACAUCAACACAAAGUAGUAACCUCUAUGUAAGUACUGUUAUAUAAGAACACUUUUCAUGAGGCCCAAAGAACUGCGAUCCUAGUUCACCCCAACAGCAAUCGAUUAACAUAAUUCUAGUCGCACCAUAACAUUUUUAAUGGCAAACUAUUAACGCACCACCGAAUUUAUAAUAAAGUAAAAGGACUAAAUCAUUCACUUGUCCACCACAGUGCAAACAAAUAGGCUUAAAAAGGAACGCGAUUUCCAAAAAUAAAUCAAGCAUGGCGAUCCCACGAUGCGGAUCUGGAGGGCAAAGGAUGAGGAACACUCGCAGCUUCUUGUCGUCAUCGAUCUCGACCUUCUUCUGGCACCCCGUGGUGGGGUUUGCGAUGUUCAACUAAAACCAACGCAAGAAGCAGACGAAUAGGCGUGGCACAGGAACAGAUCACAUCUGCGCGCGUUGGGAAGUGAAGAGCACCGUCUACCUUCAUGGUGGAGUCGCGGCGCGCCAUUAAGGUCGGACCUUGACGAACAGAUCCAUGGCGUUGGGUAAACGAAGCGGGGAAACAACGUGGAUCUGGCCGUCACCAUGGCCUGUCUGUUGGAUCCCCUCUCCUCGCUUCGGCGCCUCUCUUGUCCGGGUGAUGGGAGGGGAGGGGGCGUUCACCCGCUAGGGGGAGGGGAGGAAGGACUCUGAUGGCCGGAGAUGGGGUGGUCGGCGACGGCUGAUGGAGAAGGAGAGGGUUACGAAACAGAAGCAUGCUCGAAUCCUUGGAACCACGGACGAGAACAACACGAAAUCACCGCGAAUGGAUCUGAAGCCAUCGCCAACCGAGACCACAACCUACAACGCAUCGAUGCGGGGAAGGGGGCGGAUCGGAGGCUCACCUUGAAGGAAGGAGAAGGAGACGAGAAAAGGGGCAGCGACGGGCAGGUGGGAAUGGUAGGAAGAGGUUAGGCUGCGAGAUCGUCAAUAGUGGGGUGGGGGCGGCGACGGAUCGAGAUCUGGGAGUGAGGGAGGUAGAUGGGGAUCGAGGGGAGGGUCGGGCACUGUUGGGAGGAGGAAUGUGGGAGGUUAGAGUUUGGGUAUGUGUCUGUGGGU
This 1952-nucleotide long non-coding RNA is filed under the name Hordeum vulgare. RNAcentral describes it as "long non-coding RNA (HVUL_LNC001707)". Lineage: Eukaryota; Viridiplantae; Streptophyta; Magnoliopsida; Poales; Poaceae. The record is from RNAcentral.